Molecule: ribosomal RNA, 1341 nt
Filed under: Triticum aestivum (bread wheat)
Lineage: Eukaryota; Viridiplantae; Streptophyta; Magnoliopsida; Poales; Poaceae
Description: partial small subunit ribosomal RNA
Source: RNAcentral
AUGGCAUCUCCGGCGCCGCCGCUCAAGGACGCCGUCGGAGUCCUGGACCGCGACCCCUUCGUCGCCCUCCUCUCCAAGCUCAUCGGCGAGUCCCAGCGCCUGCAGAACGACCCGCCGGCCCUCGUCCCGCAGGAGGACCUCGUGGCGCAGCACGUCGUCGACGCGCUUCGCCCGGUGUCGACGGACACCGGUGGCGGCCCGCUCGUCGUGCGGAAGGUGAGCUACACAGACGGCCGGAGCAACGUCAUCGUCGAGUACCCCGGCACCGUCCCCGGCCGCGUCGUCUCCUUCGUCGGCAUGCACAUGGACGUCGUUCCGGCCAACCCUAGCGAAUGGGACUUUGAUCCCUUCUCACUAACCUUCGAAGGUAAUGACAAGGAAAAGCUUAGGGGCCGUGGGACGACCGACUGCCUUGGUCAUGUGGCGCUUGUGACUCAGCUCAUGCGGCGGCUUGGUGAGGUGAAACCACCAUUGAAGCAUUCUGUCAUUGCGGUGUUCAUUGCCAAUGAAGAGAAUUCAUCGGUCACUGGCAUUGGUGUUGAUGGACUUGUCAAGGAUGGUUUGCUGGAUAAGCUCAAGACUGGACCCUUGUUUUGGAUAGAUACUGCGGAUAAGCAGCCAUGCAUUGGUACCGGUGGGAUGAUCCCUUGGCAUCUGAAGGCAACAGGGAAGCUGUUUCACAGUGGCCUCGCACAUAAGGCCAUAAAUUCGAUGGAGUUAAAUAUGGAUGCACUUAAAGAAAUUCAAACUCGGUUUUACAAUGACUUCCCUGCACAUGAAAAAGAGAAGCUCUACAAAUUUGCUACUCCAUCUACAAUGAAGCCAACCAAGUGGAGUUAUCCUGGUGGGGGUCUGAACCAAAUUCCUGGAGAGUGUACAAUUUCAGGGGAUAUAAGGUUGACUCCUUUCUAUAGCACGAGUUUUGUAGUCCAGAAGUUAAAAGAGUAUGUAGAUGAUAUAAAUGCUGGACUUGAAACAAAGCUUCCUACUCGUGGUCCAGUUUCGAAAUAUGUUCUUCCCGAUGAAAAUCUGCGAGGAAGGCUUGAAAUCGCUUUUGAUGGAGAUGUGAUGAAUGGGGUGGCCUGUAAUCUUGAGUCUCGGGGCUUUCAAGCAUUAUGCAAAGCAACUGAAGAAAUAGUCGGAUACGUAGAGCCGUAUUCCAUCACCGGGAGUUUGCCUCUGAUUCGUGAAUUACAGGAUGAAGGAUUUGAUGUUCAAACUGCUGGAUAUGGCUUACUGAAGACGUACCACGCGAAGAACGAGUAUUGUCUGUUUUCAGAUAUGGCCCAAGGCUUUCAAGUGUUUGUAAGCAUCAUUUCGCAGCUGGAAGCAGAUGCUUAA